Molecule: transfer RNA, 72 nt
Filed under: Nanobdellota archaeon
Lineage: Archaea; Nanobdellati; Nanobdellota
Also listed under: 1 other name
Description: tRNA-Thr
Rfam family: tRNA
About the family: Transfer RNA (tRNA) molecules are approximately 80 nucleotides in length. Their secondary structure includes four short double-helical elements and three loops (D, anti-codon, and T loops). Further hydrogen bonds mediate the characteristic L-shaped molecular structure. tRNAs have two regions of fundamental functional importance: the anti-codon, which is responsible for specific mRNA codon recognition, and the 3' end, to which the tRNAs corresponding amino acid is attached (by aminoacyl-tRNA synthetases). tRNAs cope with the degeneracy of the genetic code in two manners: having more than one tRNA (with a specific anti-codon) for a particular amino acid; and 'wobble' base-pairing, i.e. permitting non-standard base-pairing at the 3rd anti-codon position.
Source: RNAcentral
GCCUUUGUAGCUUAAUGGUAUAGCAUCACUUUCGUAAAGUGAGGGUUGAGGGUUCAAAUCCCUUCAAAGGCU